AGUGAACGCUGGCGGUAGGCCUAACACAUGCAAGUCGAACGGCAGCACAGUAAGAGCUUGCUCUUACGGGUGGCGAGUGGCGGACGGGGGGGGAAUACAUCGAAAUUUACUUUUUCUGGGGGGUUAAGGUGGUGAAACUUACGUUAUUCCCCCUACGAACUUACGGGGAAAAGCAGGGGAUCUCCGACCUUUGCGCGAUGGAUGAGCCGGUUGCGGGAUUAGUUAGUUGGCGGGGUAAAGGCCCACCAAGGCGACGAUCCGUAGCUGGUCUGAGAGGAUGAUCAGCCACACUGGAACUGAGACACGGUCCAGACUCCUACGGGAGGCAGCAGUGGGGAAUAUUGGACAAUGGGCGCAAGCCUGAUCCAGCCAUACCGCGUGGGUGAAGAAGGCCUUCGGGUUGUAAAGCCCUUUUGUUGGGAAAGAAAAGCAGCAGGUUAAUACCCCGCUGUUCUGACGGUACCCAAAGGAUAAGCACCGGCUAACUUCGUG
Molecule: ribosomal RNA, 492 nt
Filed under: uncultured bacterium
Lineage: Bacteria
Description: partial 16S ribosomal RNA
Rfam family: Bacterial small subunit ribosomal RNA
Source: RNAcentral